UUAUUGUCAUCAUCAUCAUCAUUAUUACUAUUACUAUUACCACAGGCUUACCAUCCUGAGGUUGUGUGAAAUUGUGUAUAUAAUUGUACCGUUGCAGAACUGUCCUUGUGGUGAAAGUGUCUAACCAAUCAGAUAGGACUACAUGUGUCCAAUCAUAGACCUUGUUAGAAUGCCACACGUGUGACACUGGGAUCGAGUGGCAGAACAGUCUUCCCUCUUCUUCCCUGGGAUCGAGUUUGGUAUGGCAGAACGGUCGUUUGUUGAUAAUAUAACUGAUUUCUGAGGAAUCGAUAAAGCAGAGAAACACCCAAGAGAAAAGGAUUUAGCAAAAGCCAUGUUAUGUUCCCUUACUGGAGUCCGUCCUAAGACGGAGACAAGCCAUUUAGAGGCAGUGUCAAAUUUUGUUAUUCAAUGUCAAAGGUGCCAAGGUUAACAAAAUUGAACCGGAGAUUUUGUCAUCUUUAGCUCUAAGGCGGCACCAAGCAAAUAGUCCAGUUUUGAAUUUAACUGUGCCAUUGGAAUUAAGGACACAUAUAAAGACAGUGUGAGCCUAAGUUUCAGAUUAUUGGUUCACAAAUAACAUGGAGAUCAUGAAGAAUUCACAUGUUUUACAUUGUUUUAUUUCAAGCUCUAGGAGAUUUUCACUUGUAUGUUACACUUGACUUAUACUACCUUUGUCCAUCUAUUCAGCAGGCAUGAUGGAUUUCCAAAUUUGAUUACUGAAGCAACCUUCGUCACAUCAUAGCUUAUAAUGUUCUGCUGUAGUUAUGUAACUAUUUAUUUGCAUAAUCUUUCAAUAAAUCACAUGUUUCCUUGGUGA
Molecule: long non-coding RNA, 820 nt
Organism: Nematostella vectensis (starlet sea anemone)
Lineage: Eukaryota; Metazoa; Cnidaria; Anthozoa; Actiniaria; Edwardsiidae
Exons: 2
Source: RefSeq, a predicted model, not a curated record